Molecule: transfer RNA, 83 nt
Filed under: Gemmatimonas sp.
Lineage: Bacteria; Pseudomonadati; Gemmatimonadota; Gemmatimonadia; Gemmatimonadales; Gemmatimonadaceae
Also listed under: 1 other name
Rfam family: tRNA
About the family: Transfer RNA (tRNA) molecules are approximately 80 nucleotides in length. Their secondary structure includes four short double-helical elements and three loops (D, anti-codon, and T loops). Further hydrogen bonds mediate the characteristic L-shaped molecular structure. tRNAs have two regions of fundamental functional importance: the anti-codon, which is responsible for specific mRNA codon recognition, and the 3' end, to which the tRNAs corresponding amino acid is attached (by aminoacyl-tRNA synthetases). tRNAs cope with the degeneracy of the genetic code in two manners: having more than one tRNA (with a specific anti-codon) for a particular amino acid; and 'wobble' base-pairing, i.e. permitting non-standard base-pairing at the 3rd anti-codon position.
Source: Rfam by way of RNAcentral
GGAGGGUUGGCAGAACGGCUAAUGCACCGGUCUUGAAAACCGGCGGGCGCAAGCCCAUCAGGGUUCGAAUCCCUGGCCCUCCG